AUUUAGCCAGCUGAGUGGGGAGGAGAGAGGAACAGAGAGCCUGCUUGCUUUAAAUGAGCCAACCGGACAGGAGCCGCUUACACUCCUCUCCUCUCCCGCUUUGCUCCUUUAAAGCAAGCAGGCUCUCUGUCCCUCUCUCCUCCCCACUCAGCGGCUCUUCUC
Molecule: microRNA precursor, 162 nt
Filed under: Podarcis lilfordi (Lilford's wall lizard)
Lineage: Eukaryota; Metazoa; Chordata; Lepidosauria; Squamata; Lacertidae
Source: RNAcentral